UUCCUGCUGUUUGGCGAGUACACAGUGCAAUGCAGUAUGUCUGUCAGCGCUGCGGCACAAAGGAACAGCCAUUUUGUGACUGAGCUGGACUUGCACCAAGAUGCCAGGGCCUCCGAGAACUGCUGCCGGCGCCAACUACCGAGUUGCCCUUUAUUUCAUCAUCAGAGUACUAAUGGGAACGUGGGGAAAGGGAUGUUCUGAUAGUAGAAAGAACCAAAGUAGCAAGCUCAGACCCUAGGACCAUGACCUGUUUUCAGUGAAUGUUCUAAUCUAUGUGUCCAUUUCAGUACAAGUAUUCUCAACUGUAAAACUACAAUGGGAAAGCACUACAGGAUCUAUAUAAUACAGAAAUACAACUUCAAAUUAUUAAAAUGGGGCCUGUGAGACAGUGCAAUACGUUCAGAAACACCAGGACACUGACAGAGCCUCUAAGAGCAGUGCAUUUAGUUUUGUGGAAUCUAUUGAUUUUUGUUGUUGUUUAAAGAACUACUAAAAAUGAGUUAUUUUAAC
This 510-nucleotide long non-coding RNA is filed under the name Mus pahari (shrew mouse). Its description in RNAcentral is "lncRNA (MGP_PahariEiJ_G0002169.1)". Lineage: Eukaryota; Metazoa; Chordata; Mammalia; Rodentia; Muridae. The record is from RNAcentral.